AGCACCUGACCCCUAACAUACUGCUGCACCAUCUCCUAUGGUGCAUCAUCCGCAAUAUGAAAAUGACGAUAACGAUCAUCCAAACACUCAAUCCUGAGUCGUGAAUGAUCGAAAAAAUAUGCGUCGGGCUCAAACUCUAACAAUCGCAAGAAGGGAGAAGGGAGAAGGGAGAAGGAGAAGAGGGAGAAGGAAGAAGGAGGGGAGA
This 205-nucleotide long non-coding RNA is filed under the name Elaeis guineensis (African oil palm). Its description in RNAcentral is "long non-coding RNA (EGUI_LNC015968)". Lineage: Eukaryota; Viridiplantae; Streptophyta; Magnoliopsida; Arecales; Arecaceae. The record is from RNAcentral.